This 525-nucleotide ribosomal RNA is filed under the name uncultured bacterium. RNAcentral's name for it is "bacterial SSU rRNA". It matches the Rfam family "Bacterial small subunit ribosomal RNA", at positions 399 to 915 of the family's 1533-position model. The record is from RNAcentral.
GCGUGAGUGAAGAAGGCCUUCGGGUUGUAAAGCUCUUUCAGCUGGAACGAAACGGUACGCUCUAACAUAGCGUGCUAAUGACGGUACCGGCAGAAGAAGCACCGGCUAACUACGUGCCAGCAGCCGCGGUAAUACGUAGGGUGCGAGCGUUAAUCGGAAUUACUGGGCGUAAAGCGUGCGCAGGCGGAUUGUUAAGCAAGACGUGAAAUCCCCGGGCUUAACCUGGGAAUGGCGUUUUGAACUGGCAGUCUAGAGUGCGUCAGAGGGGGGUGGAAUUCCACGUGUAGCAGUGAAAUGCGUAGAGAUGUGGAGGAACACCGAUGGCGAAGGCAGCCCCCUGGGAUGACACUGACGCUCAUGUACGAAAGCGUGGGUAGCAAACAGGAUUAGAUACCCUGGUAGUCCACGCCCUAAACGAUGUCAACUGGUUGUUGGGGGAGUGAAAUCCCUUAGUAACGAAGCUAACGCGUGAAGUUGACCGCCUGGGGAGUACGGUCGCAAGAUUAAAACUCAAAUGAAUUGACG